This is a long non-coding RNA of Lemur catta (Ring-tailed lemur), 546 nucleotides long. RefSeq lists it as uncharacterized. NCBI's taxonomy places the organism in Eukaryota, Metazoa, Chordata, Mammalia, Primates, Lemuridae. The record is from RefSeq and is a predicted model, not a curated record. The transcript is spliced from 2 exons.
CAGCGUUCACCCACACAGAGGACAACCUUGCACGUUAGGGCCACGCAUUUGAACCGGCUAGCAGGGAGCCAGGCCUGGGUGGGGGGAGGGCUGGCCACCCCUCUGGUCUCCCUGCCCUGGUGGCCUGCAGUUCUUGCCCCUUUUAGCCUGGAGACCGCUGUAGCCUCGAUUUCCCUCAGGGCACACACCAGCAAGCCCAGGUGCACUUGAGGGUGCCCCUGGCCUUUCUGUCACUGGGCACAUAACUCGUGUUCCUCCUCUGCCAGGCCCUGUGCCAGGCGCCGGGGAGACAGUGUGGAGCCAAACACGUCGUCUGGCCUUUGCCUGCACGCUAGUACUGGAGACGACCAGCGUUAGUGCCACAUAGAUAAAGGUCACAUCACAAGCUUUCAGGUUCCCUUCUGCAGUGAAGAGGACAGGGGGGCUGUCUUCAUUUCCUGAGCGUCAGGGCGUGGAUGUUUGUUGAGUGAGCUGCUCCUUCCGCAAAGCAUUUCUAGUGCAUUAAAUUCUUACUGGAGCCCCGGAGGAAACCGAGGCCCAGAGACA